AUUCUGCAUUUCAUUCCGGCCUGAGAAACCGGCUGGACGUGAAAAAUGCUCGUGAAUUCUUAUUAGAGAUGGUGACUGUGCCUCGGAGCAGGACAUUGCAUAUUCAUCAGUGUGACGGACCUCAGCUCCCCACCUCAGCAGGGUGAACCUUGCGCUCGCCGGGAUGCACGAAUGGUCAGCCCUGGCCUGACGUGGGCUCUGUGGGUGGUUGGAGCCCUGGACCUUGCAGAAAACAUGAAAAGACUUCUCGUCCCUCCUUCCGGCACUUUCUCAAGUGCUGUCAAGUGCUUUAUUUUAAUGUUCACUGUAGUUUUCAGGUUACCAUCCUAAUAUAGGCUCAUUGUAGAAAAUUUGAAACUAUGUAGAAAUAUAAAGUUGAAAAUAAGUAUUUCCUCAAAUUCCACCACCCAGGGCUAAACAUCGUUGUAUUUCUUCCAGUCUUUUUUUCUCUGUGUGUAUAUAUUUAAAAACUAUGAAUCAAUAUAUACAUAUGGAAUUGGGAUCAUAUCGUCCCUAUGGUUCUGUAUAUUUUUUCUCCCUUUUAAUGGUAUAUACAAAGCAUCUCUUGUGUCUUUAAGCCCCGUUUGUCAGCAUCAGUCUAGCGGCUGCACACACAGCCAUCGCAUGGCUGUAGUUCAAUGAAUUUAAUUACCCUCAUUGAUGGACGGUGAGGUGGGGAGUUUUCUAUUUUGACCGUGUACAACGAAAAUGUCCCUGGCUUUUUUAAGGGUAGCUUUUUUUUUUUUUUAACGUUUUAUUUUAUAUUGGAGCCUAGUUGAUUUACAAUGUUGUGUUAGUUUCAGGUGUACAGCAAAGUGAUUCAGUUAUACAUAUACAUGUAUCUAUUGUUUUUCGAAUUCUCUUUCCAUUUAGGUUUUUACAGAAUACUGAGCAGAGUUCCCUGUGCUAUGCGGUAGGUCCUUGUUGGUUGUCUAUUUUAAAUACAGUAGUGUGUAUCUGUUAAUCCCAAACCCCCAAUUUAUCCCUUCCCCCCAACCUUUCCCCUUUGGUAACCGUAAGUUUGUUUUCGAAGACUGUGAGUCUGUUUCUGUUUUGUAAAUAAGUUCAUUUGUAUCAUUUUUUUUAAGAUUCCACAGAUAAGUGAUAUCGUGUGGUAUUUGUCUUUCUCUGUCUGACUUACUUCACUUACUAUGAUAAUCUCCAGGUCCAUCCAUGUUGCUGCAAAUGGCAUGAUUUCAUUCUUUUUAAUGACUGAGUGAUAGUCCAUUGUAUACAUGUACCACAUCUUCUUUAUCCAUUCUUCUGUCGAUGGGCAUUUAGGUUGCUUCCUAAAUGCCCAUCGACAGAUAGCUUCUUGGCUAUUGUAAAUAGUGCUGCAGUGAACAUUGGGGUGCAUGCAUCCUUUUGAACCAUGUUUUUCUCCAGGUAUAUACCCAGGAGUGGGAUCGCUGGAUCAGAUGGUAACCCUAUUUUUAGAUUUUUAAGGAACCUCCGUACUGUUCUCCAUAGUAGCCGCACCGGGCUUCCCUGGUGGCGCAGUGGUUGAGAGUCCGCCUGCCGAUGCAGGGGACACGGCUUCGUGCCCCGGUCCGGGAGGAUCCCACAGGCCGCGGAGCGGCUGGGCCCGUGAGCCGUGGCCGCUGGGCCUGCGCGUCCGGAGCCUGUGCUCCGCGACGGGAGAGGCCACAACAGAGGGAGGCCCUCAUACCACAUAGUAGCCGCACCAAUUUGCAUUUCCAGCAACAGUGUAGAAGGGUUCCCUUUUCGAGGGAGGCUUAUUUAAACCAGAGGAAGAACGUUACUUAGGAAAAAAAUUUUCCCUUUGGGGCCUAGAAGUGAUGGAAAAAGUAGUUUGUUGCAGCUGAAGCUGAGGGGUGCAAGGCGAGGCCUGGGCCCCCAACUACUGCCAGGCCCCGGCGCUCAAGCGUGCUGCAUCCCUUCCUGCUCUGAGUGGAGCUGCCGUCCCUUAGUCCUUGUCUAGGUGGGCUGCUUUCAGCUGCAGGUAUCAGAAAGCCCAGCUCGGCGAGUUUCAAAAGCGAGGGCGCCGUCUGUGUCGCGUGCCAGGACUUCCGGAGGCGGCAGCUCCAGGUUUGCCAGUUCACCGCCUUCUCUCCCCGGGCACCCUCAGCACCACAGCCCAACCUCAGGCUGCCUCCCCUCCUGGGGCACGUCGGCUGCCCAGGUCCAGCCAUGCCACCCAGACGUGAUGAAGAGUGAUGAAGUACAAAGGUGGAAAAGGGACCAUUGUAUCAAAUCCUUUUUUCCCUCUCUUUUUUUAAAUCAGUAAGGACAACCUUGUCCAGAAGCCCGGGCCGGUUUCCCCAUCCAGCUGCCCUCACCUUACUGGCUAGACCCACAUGCCAGUGCCCAAGCCAGGCCUUGGGCGGGAGAAGGGGGCUCAUCCUUUCUGAGGCGGAGACUGAGAGCUCUCUGGGGUGGGGCAGGGGGCACUGUAGGUGCCUGGAUGUGCCCUCUCGCCCUUCUGGACGUAGAUCCCCUGGGGCCCUUGCACCCCACCUCCUCCAGACCACUGUAGGCUGUGGGCACUGAGUUUUUCGAGCUGCAGCUUCACCCAGACCCCAAGGCAGCCCUUACCAAGGGACCAGAAUGUUGACCGUCCCAGCCUCAUCGGCUGGCGGGGCGCGCGGGGUCCACUGUGAGGCCUGGGCCAGACUCAGUGCUGGUCUCUCCGGAUCCCGGAGUGUCAACCCCACUCCAACCCCAGUGCCAUGGGUGGGCCCAGAGUGCUGGAUGGCCGAUCACUGCCUCACACCCCCAGAUCAAUCUGGUGGGUUACAAUGCGGAUGGGCACGUGAUCCAAAAUCGGUUCCAUAAGAGUUGAUCUGGGGGGUGUCUGCUGGAAUUCAUGGGAAAGAGGUGUGCUUUCUUUUCCCUGAGGUCUCCAGGAUGUGAGCCGGGAGCUGGUGGGCCCCAACUCACCGCCACGGGGGAGAAUCCGCCUGAGAGUGAAGCCAACGUAGAAGAAAGCGGAGUUAGAAGAUGGAGAGAGACCAGGUCCUGAUGAUAUCAGUUGAAGCCCUGGAUUCAGCCAUUCCUGAAGCAGUGCUACCUCUGAAAUCAUCAUUUACGGAAGGCGACAAUUUUCCUUUUCACAUAAACCAGUUUGAACUGGGUUUUUGUUGCACCUGAAGAGUCUUGACUAAAGCUCCUGCAGACUAGUCUUCCAAAACCAGGAUCCCGGGGCCAGACUUUGAUAACGAUCCCUGCCGCUGAGGCGGGCCAGGCCCCAGUGCCACUUUCUUUGGGUGUGGAAGACUGAAGGCUCAUCACCCUUCCUGCGGCCACUUCCUCCAGUCCACAGAGCGUCUCUGCAGGAGAGCUGCUUCCUCUGUGUCCGUUGAAUUAUCUGGUGUCUUCCUUUGAAGCCAGAAACAGGACAGGCGUUUCCCUUCCCUCUCCACAUCGACUUCUCCCUCUGUCCAGGCUUUCACGAUUCUAGGGGUAGUUUCCUGAUAAUUCAACUGAAAAUUUCCAUGGCUCAGUUUCUGCUUCCCUGAGUUGCCCCCUCAGUCUCCGCUAACGACUCAGCUCCUUCCCGAGGCCCGUGAUCGGAGCGUCUCUGCCCACGUCACUGUUUAGCCAAGCUCGGCACCUUUCCUGUGCUCAUCCUUCUUCAUAAGCCAUGUCUCCAGCCUGCUAAUCACUGCGGACGUGUUUUAAGGGAUGCUUUUCAAUUUUCAUUGGCUGUGCUGUUGCGAGGUCUUCCUCUAGGCAGCAAGGGGCUUUCCCUCCAAAAGGCUACAUGUUCCUGUGCCCCGAUGCUCAAGGGACCAGAAGGGAAAGGAAAUGGAAGAAGCAGUCUGCUAUUUGUUUGGGGGGUGGGGCGUGGCAAAACAGGGCCCAUAACCUGCCCUGGGGGGACAGCUACCUCUCAGGGCUGGUCCAUUGUCACCGUGCAGGAACCAGGCCCAGCAUUUGUACAGCUAAUGAUUUCUCAAGGGAAGGUGGAAAUCCAUGUUUUUAUGUGAAAUUUCCUAUCUUUAAAAAAACGGGGAACUUCCCUGGCGGUGCAGGGGUCAAGAUUCCGCGCUUCCACUGCAGGGGACGUGGGUUCGAUCCCUGGUCGGGGAACUAAUAUGCCACAUGCCGUGCGGUACGGCCAAAAAUUUAAAUUAAUAAAAAUAAAUCUUAAAAAAAAGCCAGCAACAGAAUAAAAAGAAUUUAACUGCUAUAAAGACGAACCGUCUCUCGGACCACCAGUCUGUGACUUCUGCCCUAGUGGAUUAAAGAAGUGACAGGGUGUCAGACCACAAAGAGCAGCGUGGCCUAGUGGGCAGACACGGGGCUGGGAACGGGGAAGCCGGGGUUUUGGUCCUACCCCAGGUUACACCGUGUAACCUGGGGCACAUAUUUGGUUUCUGAAAAUUCCUAGCAGUUCAUGUACAUUUCCUUAACCUUUCCAACAGUUCUAGAAGAUGGGCUGCAUUAAUCCCAUUCUGAAUAAUGAAGAGAAUUUUUUUUAAAAUUUUUGGCCGUACCCCGCGGCAUGUGAGACCUUAGCUCCCUGACCAGGGAUCGAACCCGUGGCCCCUGCAUUGGCAAGUGGAGUGUUAUAACCACUGGACCGCUGGGGAAGCCCCUUUGUUGAGGCAUAUUAACUAAUUUGGAUCAGAAGCAGAACUCACAUGUUCCUAGAAAAUGUUACUUGGCACUUGCUCUUCUGUCUCUCCAUUAGCUCUUCUUCAGGAGUGGUUCUUUGACCACUGGAAUGUAAAAAUCAGGCAUGGACUUGGAAGACGUGUGUCUUCGUUACUGUGAGCUGCUAUAACAAAGUGCCGCAGGCUGGGUGGCUUAAACAACAGUGCAUAAUAUGAAUGAAAUAUAAUAAAAAUAGCCUUUGGUAUGUGUCCAUAAUGCUACU
Molecule: long non-coding RNA, 4843 nt
Organism: Physeter macrocephalus (sperm whale)
Lineage: Eukaryota; Metazoa; Chordata; Mammalia; Artiodactyla; Physeteridae
Exons: 3
Source: RefSeq, a predicted model, not a curated record